AUAUAUUAAACCAUACAAUAUUAAUUUACCUAAGUGUAGGUUGUCUAAACUCAAGUACAGAGAUGGAAGCUCAAAUAUAUCAAAGUAAUGAUAAAAUCAUGUACCUUGUGCAUAAUGGUUUUACAAGAUUUAUAUUCAUAAUAAAUAUACCGAAUUCUGCAUGAGCUGCCUAUAUGCAGUUUAGAACUUCAUAAUUGUUAUGUCAUCAACAUUAUCAGACAUAUAGGCAGAGGCUACAUUCCAUCCGCAUAAGAAAAUUUCUGGUUUCUGACAAUUUUUAUUUAUUAAAGUAUAUAAAAUUUUAUAGUACAAGCUAAUUGAGGAUAAGCCCAAUUAAACAAAUUAUUAAAUAAAUAGAGUCAAACCAAAACACGUGGGCCUAUAAUCAGCCAUCAAAACUACGUUAAAGCUUUGCAACCGCUAUAAUUAUAAAAUAUACUGUAAAGUCAGACAUUAUUCUCACUAUAUACAAAUUACCUCACUAUGUAAAAAUAAGUAUUUAUAAACAAACUUUCCACAAUCCAAUAAAUCAUGAGUACUUACCACAAAAUUAAUAAAAGAACUAGGCAAAUACACAUUU
Molecule: ribosomal RNA, 580 nt
Filed under: Rhinodrilus brasiliensis
Lineage: Eukaryota; Metazoa; Annelida; Clitellata; Crassiclitellata; Glossoscolecidae
Description: partial 16S ribosomal RNA
Source: RNAcentral